UGGGGAAUAUUGCACAAUGGGGGAAACCCUGAUGCAGCAACGCCGCGUGAGUGAAGAAGUAUUUCGGUAUGUAAAGCUCUAUCAGCAGGGAAGAUAAUGACGGUACCUGACUAAGAAGCUCCGGCUAAAUACGUGCCAGCAGCCGCGGUAAUACGUAUGGAGCAAGCGUUAUCCGGAUUUACUGGGUGUAAAGGGUGCGUAGGUGGCAGGGCAAGUCAGAUGUGAAAGACCGGGGCUCAACCCCGGGGCUGCAUUUGAAACUGCUUUGCUGGAGUGCAGGAGAGGCAGGCGGAAUUCCUAGUGUAGCGGUGAAAUGCGUAGAUAUUAGGAGGAACACCAGUGGCGAAGGCGGCCUGCUGGACUGAUACUGACACUGAGGCACGAAAGCGUGGGGAGCAAACAGGA
This 405-nucleotide ribosomal RNA is filed under the name uncultured bacterium. RNAcentral describes it as "bacterial SSU rRNA". It matches the Rfam family "Bacterial small subunit ribosomal RNA", at positions 355 to 777 of the family's 1533-position model. The record is from RNAcentral.